CUGAAUUUCUCUAUUUAUCCACAGAGCAGGAACAACAUAAACAGUGGCAGUUCAAGCUCACCUCACAUCCUUCCACCUGCUUGCCUCAAGACUGAUCCAAAGGACUACUUCUAGGGUGAACAGGUAGGUCAG
Molecule: unclassified non-coding RNA, 132 nt
Organism: Chelonoidis abingdonii (Abingdon island giant tortoise)
Lineage: Eukaryota; Metazoa; Chordata; Testudines; Testudinidae
Source: Ensembl